This 456-nucleotide ribosomal RNA is filed under the name uncultured soil bacterium. RNAcentral describes it as "bacterial SSU rRNA". It matches the Rfam family "Bacterial small subunit ribosomal RNA", at positions 26 to 474 of the family's 1533-position model. The record is from RNAcentral.
AGAUUGAACGCUGGCGGCAUGCCUUACACAUGCAAGUCGAACGGCAGCACGGGAGCAAUCCUGGUGGCGAGUGGCGAACGGGUGAGUAAUAUAUCGGAACGUGCCCAGUCGUGGGGGAUAACGCAGCGAAAGCUGUGCUAAUACCGCAUACGAUCUAUGGAUGAAAGCGGGGGAUCGCAAGACCUCGCGCGAUUGGAGCGGCCGAUAUCAGAUUAGCUAGUUGGUGGGGUAAAAGCCUACCAAGGCGACGAUCUGUAGCUGGUCCGAGAGGACCGACCAGCCCACACUAGGAACUGAGACACGGUCCAGACUCCGUAGGGAGGCAGCGAGGUGGGAAUUUUGGACAAGUGGGCGCAAGCCUGAUCCAGCAAUCGCCGCGUGCAGGAUGGAAAGGUCCCUUUAGGGUUACGUAAACUUCGUACGUUUUUGGUAACCGGGUAACGGUAAACCGGGUUU